Molecule: ribosomal RNA, 379 nt
Filed under: uncultured eukaryote
Lineage: Eukaryota
Description: partial 18S ribosomal RNA
Rfam family: Eukaryotic small subunit ribosomal RNA
Source: RNAcentral
CAAUAGCGUAUAUUAAAGUUGUUGCGGUAAAAAAGCUCGUAGUUGGAUUUCUGUUGAGAGCGACCGGUCCAUACCAUGUAUGCGUAUCUGGCUUGCUCUCGGCAUCCUCUCGAUAGACGUUACUGCGCUUGAUUGCGUGGUGCGGAUCUCGGGACUUUUACUUUGAGGAAAUUAGAGUGUUCACGGCAGGCUUUCGCCAGAAUACAUUAGCAUGGAAUAAUACUAUAGGAUCUUGGUUCUAUUUUGUUGGUUUCUAGAAUUGAGAUAAUGAUUAAUAGGGACAAUUGGGGGCAUUCGUAUCAACACGUCAGAGGUGGAAUUCUUGGAUUGUGUUGCGACGAACCACUGCGAAAGCAUUUGCCAAGGAUGUUUUCAUUGA